GUAUGGGGCGAGCGUUAUCCGGAUUCAUUGGGCGUAAAGCGCGCGUAGGCGGAGCGCUAAGAGGGACCUCUAACCCGAGGGCUCAACCCCCGGCCGGGUCCCGAACUGGCGCUCUCGAGUGCGGUAGGGGAGAGCGGAAUUCCCGGUGUAGCGGUGGAAUGCGCAGAUAUCGGGAAGAACACCGACGGCGAAGGCAGCUCUCUGGGCCGAAACUGACGCUGAGGCGCGAANNCUNGGGGAGCGAACAGGAUUAGAUACCCUGGUAGUCCCAGCCGUAAACGAUGGGCGCUAGGUGUGGGGGAUGAGAUCCCCCGUGCCGCAGCCAACGCAUUAAGCGCCCCGCCUGGGGAGUACGGCCGCAAGGCUAAAACUCAAAGG
Molecule: ribosomal RNA, 378 nt
Filed under: uncultured bacterium
Lineage: Bacteria
Description: bacterial SSU rRNA
Rfam family: Bacterial small subunit ribosomal RNA
Source: RNAcentral